AGGAAACUACUCGGAAUAUGGGCCAUAUCUGUAUUGGAGGUGAGACAUUUAGCCUCUAUCACAGUACUCAAAAUGAGUACUAAGAUAGAAAGAAGCUUUGCACAAACAUACAGUAUAUGAAGAAGCUUAACAUUCAGCUACAGAUGCCAGUCCACAUCAAAUCUCAUUAAAGGAAAGCAGAAGUGUCAGUACCAGGGUCCAAUGGAUAUUCCAGCACGUCAAGUCGGUCAUUAAAGACUCCAACAAGCCAGAAGUUGGUGUGUCUACUACCUCCUCAAAUGUUAGAUAACAUCUUGUCUGUACCCAUCUGACCAACCAUCAAUGACAGAGAUGCCAAGGCUGCAACUCCAUUGGCUCAACAUCAUCAUAAGGUUGAUAAUGACAAUCUGAUGCAUUAUGCCCAUUCCAUUAGCUUGUGCAUAUUUUUUAAAAGAAUAAUUGGUCUUGACCUAAUUUUCUGUAACUUUUGUAAACUUCAACCUUUCUUACUGUCCUCUGAAUGGUAUGAUCUCUUUCUCUGUUGAUCUUUGAGGUGUAGGUAACAACAAUCAAAGACGCAAUAACCCUAAAAUUGCUACAAUACCAGUACUAUCUGUUGAGGUGAGUAUAUCAUCUUUUUAGUUCAAAUAUCCAUCUUUUCUUGUGAGCAUCAGUAUUGGUUUCCAGCAGAAACUAUCAAAAUAAGAGUGAGUAUGCAGGUUAUUAGGUAGUGUAGUGCUCAAUACGAACAACCUCUCCAUACUCUCAACCUACUCAUCAGGCUCUGGGGCAUGAAAAAAAAAUCCUUGUUAUAUGCAAAGAAGAAUGAUUCCUUGCUGUUCAUGUGUUGCAAGACUUCCAUCAACAUAUUGAUUCUCCUGGGCCACUCAUUGGUCACCCUUUUCAUCAGCUUCUCAAAAUUCUUUCAGUUUGUAGACCGUCUGAAAGAAGACAAAGUUGAGAUGCUCAGAGUGAUUUUGACAAAGUUAAGAUAGCAUUGUAGAAGCAAUUUGGAAAGUUGUUCACACAUGCUUCAAAACUUGAUUGUCCUAGAACAGUCAAAGCUUUGUGAGUAUCUCCGCAAAGGGCCAGAGUUCUUCCUUUCUCCAACAUCUCUACUCCAUCCCCUCAUGUAGAAAAAUUCAAUUCUGGUGAUAAAUUUGCAAAAUGCAUGUGCUUUCCUUUUC
Long non-coding RNA from Physcomitrium patens, 1166 nucleotides. RefSeq lists it as uncharacterized. The record is from RefSeq and is a predicted model, not a curated record. NCBI's taxonomy places the organism in Eukaryota, Viridiplantae, Streptophyta, Bryopsida, Funariales, Funariaceae.